RNAcentral lists this non-coding RNA (32 nucleotides) under Capnocytophaga gingivalis. Its description in RNAcentral is "S4-Flavobacteria ribosomal protein leader". It matches the Rfam family "S4-Flavobacteria ribosomal protein leader". The record is from RNAcentral. RNAcentral also lists the same sequence under 4 other names. Lineage: Bacteria; Pseudomonadati; Bacteroidota; Flavobacteriia; Flavobacteriales; Flavobacteriaceae.
GAUUAUCGAAGGACAAGCCUUAAUUCAUAAUC